This 74-nucleotide transfer RNA is filed under the name Heterandria formosa (least killifish). Its description in RNAcentral is "tRNA-Leu". It matches the Rfam family "tRNA". From Rfam's summary of the family: Transfer RNA (tRNA) molecules are approximately 80 nucleotides in length. Their secondary structure includes four short double-helical elements and three loops (D, anti-codon, and T loops). Further hydrogen bonds mediate the characteristic L-shaped molecular structure. tRNAs have two regions of fundamental functional importance: the anti-codon, which is responsible for specific mRNA codon recognition, and the 3' end, to which the tRNAs corresponding amino acid is attached (by aminoacyl-tRNA synthetases). tRNAs cope with the degeneracy of the genetic code in two manners: having more than one tRNA (with a specific anti-codon) for a particular amino acid; and 'wobble' base-pairing, i.e. permitting non-standard base-pairing at the 3rd anti-codon position. Lineage: Eukaryota; Metazoa; Chordata; Actinopteri; Cyprinodontiformes; Poeciliidae. The record is from RNAcentral.
GUCCAGGUGGCAGAGUCCGGCCAAUGCAAAAGGUCUAAGCCCUUACCACAGGGGUUCAACUCCCCUCCUAGACU